AGUAAAGCUAGAUAUGAUGCCAUUGAUUCUGUUGGAGGAAGAUCCACAGGAAAGAGAAUUGCUUUUGCUAAAGAAACAACAAUAAAAUAAGCUCUUGCUCACUGAAUUGUGGAGAGGGAUUGAAGGGGCUAACAUCCCAUCAAGAUUUCCCAUAAGAUUUCGAGGUAAGAAAUCAAGUUUACACUUAAAAAAUCAAGUUCGAUCCAGAUCUUGAGAUGCCACACAAGAACAGAAGCAUCGUUAGCUUUGAGAUGGCUAACUUGGUAAGCCACACUUUUCAUGUGUGCCAUUGAGAUUUUUUUGGUUUUAGUCAUUUUGUAUUGAACUCUGCACUCACUCUAUCGACCCCCUUGGAUUGUCAUAGUAAUAUAGCAUCCAUUUUAUGAAUUGCAUGAUUUUGUUGGGGUUGUACCCCAAACUUUAUGCUCUGUACUGUGAGCUGAUUCUAUAUACUUGGUGUUGAGACAUAUUAUGUGGUUUAAGUGUAAGGCUUGAUACAGAUUGUUUGACGACUAAUUAACUGUAUCAAUCCAUCCCAUAAGGAAUACGAAGAAAGUUUUGAACUGAAACAUUGUGCUAAUCAGAAAUGAUAGGCAUACUUGCAAACAAUCAAACAGUAACAAAGGCAAAGCUUGAAAAUUCCUUACAGAGAGAGGGGGGGAAGAGUCAACCACACCAAGUGGAA
This is a long non-coding RNA of Solanum stenotomum, 685 nucleotides long. RefSeq lists it as uncharacterized. The record is from RefSeq and is a predicted model, not a curated record. Lineage: Eukaryota; Viridiplantae; Streptophyta; Magnoliopsida; Solanales; Solanaceae. The transcript has 3 exons.